RNAcentral lists this ribosomal RNA (253 nucleotides) under uncultured bacterium. Its description in RNAcentral is "partial 16S ribosomal RNA". It matches the Rfam family "Bacterial small subunit ribosomal RNA", at positions 524 to 776 of the family's 1533-position model. The record is from RNAcentral.
UACGUAGGGGGCAAGCGUUAUCCGGAUUUACUGGGUGUAAAGGGGGCGCAGACGGCAGCGCAAACCAGGAGUGAAAGCCCGGGGCCCAACCCCGGGACUGCUCUUGGAACUGCGCGGCUGGAGUGCAGGAGGGGCAGGCGGAAUUCCUGGUGUAGCGGUGAAAUGCGUAGAUAUCAGGAGGAACACCGGUGGCGAAGGCGGCCUGCUGGACUGCGACUGACGUUGAGGCCCGAAAGCGUGGGGAGCAAACAGG